Molecule: ribosomal RNA, 859 nt
Filed under: Platystomum rosae
Lineage: Eukaryota; Fungi; Ascomycota; Dothideomycetes; Pleosporales; Lophiostomataceae
Description: eukaryotic LSU rRNA
Rfam family: Eukaryotic large subunit ribosomal RNA
Source: RNAcentral
CACAGGGAUUGCCCUAGUAACGGCGAGUGAAGCGGCAACAGCUCAAAUUUGAAAUCUGGCUCCUUUGGGGUCCGAGUUGUAAUUUGUAGAGGGUGCUUUGGCGUUGGUUGUGGUCUAAGUUCCUUGGAACAGGACGUCACAGAGGGUGAGAAUCCCGUACGUGGCCGCCAGCCUCCGCCGUGUAAAGCCCCUUCGAUGAGUCGAGUUGUUUGGGAAUGCAGCUCUAAAUGGGAGGUAAAUUUCUUCUAAAGCUAAAUAUUUGCCAGAGACCGAUAGCGCACAAGUAGAGUGAUCGAAAGAUGAAAAGCACUUUGGAAAGAGAGUCAAAAAGCACGUGAAAUUGUUGAAAGGGAAGCGCUUGCAGCUAGACGUGCCUUGGGUUGAUCAGCCGGACUUUUGCCCGGUGCACUCUUCCUUUGGCAGGCCAGCAUCAGUUUGGGCGGCUGGAUAAAGGUCUGUUAAACGUGACUUCCUUCGGGGAGAGCUUAUAGGGCAGACGACAUGCAGCCAGCCUGAACUGAGGUCCGCGCAUCUGCUAGGAUGCUGGCGUAAUAGCUGUAAGCGGCCCGUCUUGAAACACGGACCAAGGAGUCUAACAUCUAUGCGAGUGUUUGGGUGUCAAGCCCGAGCGCGUAAUGAAAGUAAACGGAGGUGGGAGCCUUUUAGGUGCACCAUCGACCGAUCCUGAUGUCUUCGGAUGGAUUUGAGUAAGAGCAUAGCUGUUGGGACCCGAAAGAUGGUGAACUAUGCCUGAAUAGGGUGAAGCCAGAGGAAACUCUGGUGGAGGCUCGCAGCGGUUCUGACGUGCAAAUCGAUCGUCAAAUUUGGGCAUAGGGGCGAAAGACUAAUCGAACUAUCU